Molecule: long non-coding RNA, 482 nt
Organism: Magnolia sinica
Lineage: Eukaryota; Viridiplantae; Streptophyta; Magnoliopsida; Magnoliales; Magnoliaceae
Exons: 3
Source: RefSeq, a predicted model, not a curated record
CCUUCUUUAUAUGUGUUUUCAGUUUUUGGAUCUUUUUAGAUUUGAUUCUUUCUUUAGUAUUCUCUUGUAUUCUGAUUGUGCAAUGCUCAGAAUCUGUGACUGCAUUGUUGGAAAGUCUUACAUAAAGAGCACAAAGGCCUCUAUUUUUGCUCUAUCUUUGUCUUCUUUAUGAAGCUAACAUUCCACUCUUAAAAAAUUACAUAAAUGUUUGAUUCUAUUUUGCAGGAUAUUGAGGAAUUGCAAUCUUUCUGGACCAAUCCCUUCAUAUGUAAAUGAAAACCUUGAAAACCUUGCGAUUGAUGAGAGAGUUUACACAUAUGCAUGACCAAGCUGCUCAUCCAACCUGAUUCUUGGACCAAGCAUAAGUUGUGGCCAACCAACCCAAGGAUGAAGAUUGCUCGAUCAAAGGAAAUCUCAAGGAUACCUAAAAGAAGUAACAGAAAAUGGGGAGGUCAAGGUUCAAACCACCUUGAGAACUAGCA